GAUGAAGAACGUAGCGAAAUGCGAUACUUGGUGUGAAUUGCAGAAUCCCGUGAACCAUCGAGUCUUUGAACGCAAGUUGCGCCCGAAGCCAUCAGGUUGAGGGCACGUCUGCCUGGGCGUCACAUAUCGUUGCCCAAUGCCUAUUGCAGUGCAAUAGGAAUUUCUAGGGCGAAUGAUGGCUUCCCGUGAGCGUUGUUGCCUCGCGGUUGGUUGAAAAUCGAGUCCUUGGUAGGGUGUGCCAUGGUAGAUGGUGGUCGAGUUAGAACGAUACCGAUCAUGUGCAUGCUCCCCAAAAUAUGGCCUCUAUGACCCACACGCGUCUUUUGACGCUCAUGACGAGACCUCAGGUCAGGCGGGGCCACCCGCUGAAUUUAAGCAUAUCAAUAAGCGGAGGA
RNAcentral lists this unclassified non-coding RNA (395 nucleotides) under soil metagenome. RNAcentral's name for it is "partial contains 5.8S ribosomal RNA, internal transcribed spacer 2, and large subunit ribosomal RNA". The stretch from base 1 to 122 matches the Rfam family "5.8S ribosomal RNA", at positions 35 to 154 of the family's 154-position model. The record is from RNAcentral.